This 469-nucleotide ribosomal RNA is filed under the name uncultured Methanolinea sp. RNAcentral describes it as "bacterial SSU rRNA". It matches the Rfam family "Archaeal small subunit ribosomal RNA", at positions 871 to 1337 of the family's 1478-position model. The record is from RNAcentral. Lineage: Archaea; Methanobacteriati; Methanobacteriota; Methanomicrobia; Methanomicrobiales; Methanoregulaceae.
CGGGGAGCACCACAACGGGUGGAGCUUGCGGUUUAAUUGGAUUCAACGCCGGAAAUCUUACCGGGACCGACAGCGAUAUGAAGGCCAGGCUGAAGACUUUGCCGGAUUAGCUGAGAGGUGGUGCAUGGCCGUCGUCAGUUCGUACUGUGAAGCAUCCUGUUAAGUCAGGCAACGAGCGAGACCCACGCCCACAGUUGCCAGCGUACUCUCCGGAGUGACGGGUACACUGUGGGGACCGCCGCUGCUAAAGAGGAGGAAGGAAUGGGCAACGGUAGGUCAGCAUGCCCCGAAUUAUCUGGGCUACACGCGGGCUACAAUGGGUGGGACAAUGGGUAUCGACACCGAAAGGUGAGGGCAAUCUCCUAAACCCAUCCGUAGUUCGGAUUGUGGGCUGCAACUCGCCCACAUGAAGCUGGAAUCUGUAGUAAUCGUGUCUCAAAAUGGCACGGUGAAUAUGUCCCUGCUCCUU